GCUUUAACAUGGGGGUACCUGCUAUGUAAAACAAAAGUAAGUGCUUCCAUGUUUCAGUGG
RNAcentral lists this microRNA precursor (60 nucleotides) under Dasypus novemcinctus (nine-banded armadillo). RNAcentral's name for it is "microRNA dno-mir-302c precursor". Its record names the gene dno-mir-302c. It matches the Rfam family "mir-302 microRNA precursor family", at positions 6 to 63 of the family's 68-position model. Lineage: Eukaryota; Metazoa; Chordata; Mammalia; Cingulata; Dasypodidae. The record is from miRBase by way of RNAcentral.